Papio anubis (olive baboon) is the source of this 2477-nucleotide long non-coding RNA. NCBI's taxonomy places the organism in Eukaryota, Metazoa, Chordata, Mammalia, Primates, Cercopithecidae. The record is from Ensembl.
GUUUAGGUUUCAUUUGCUUUGCUUUGCUUAGGGCAAAGGAAAGCUGUGCGUGUCUACAGGUCACCAGGAAGGGGGAGCUGUGGAAGGCGUUGAGGGGUGGCUGGGCAGGAAGGGAAUCUCAGAAGGAGGGACAGACCCUGAAGGUCAUAAGAAGUCACCUCACCUGUCAUAACCCUGGGGCUCAACCUGAGGGGGAUGAUGGGUGUGGAGCCCCUUCCCAGGGCCCUGCCUCUAGCCCUCACUUCCCCACUGGGCUGAGCCUUCUUGCCCUUUGAGGCAUGGAAACUUGUCUGAAAUCAUCCCACGUUCUCCCCACACUGCUGUUUCUAGAAUGAGUCUCAUGUGCUAGGUCCCUUGGGCCAAAAGCCGCUUAGCAAUCAUAACAACUGUUUUCUUUAAAAAAAAAAAAAAAGAAAAAUAAACAGCUGUUGCCUGACUUUUAAGAUGGAUGUUUCUGCUUUGGGUCUGACAAGUCUAAUGAACAGACAGUUCUUAAAAAGGAAAUACGAAUGUCCCUCUCCCGCAUAGAAGACAGAUGCUCAGCCUCACUCAUCAGCAGAUGCAGUUCACACAACACCAGACACUGCGUUCGUCCUCAGAGUGGCCAGAACCCGUGGGUGUGGCAACGUGGUGGGAACCCAGAAAGCAUGGCCCCAGGAGGGGAGCUGAGUCACAGAUUGCCUGUGCACAAAGGAGUGUUCAUGUGGCUAGGCUGUCACGGCAACACUGCUGUGACAUCAAGCAACUGACAGCCACGUGUCCACUGAUCGGGGCCACGUGAGCAGGCGGUGGCGCUUCCACUCCAUGGAGUCCAAGCAGCUGCAAACAAAUACAGAAGUGAGGACGGAUUUGCCAAGUUCACUGUGUAGAUUACUAAAUGAAGAAAGCAAGACCGGCUCUGCAUUUGAUGUCAGCCCUUGCAGGGGUCACGACGUGGUCUGUGCGACUGCAGAGGUGCCAGCUGUAAAGUCUCACCCUUGGCCACUUCUCUCUUCUCUGAUGACAGCCAUCUGGCACUGCGCACUUACAAAGGGAAGGACGGGGCUGACCCACAAGGCUCCUGAGUUGCUGAAAUCAUGGUGAAUCCAUCCUCUACCCUGAACUCAGCCCUUUCAUCUGUCUCUUGGAUAUGCAUCAUGGCCCUAAUCAAUGUAAAUCAGUCUGGGCAUGACUUUUUGGCUGCUCAUUGGAAUCAUGAUUGAUUAUAUUUUUUCAAUAACUCAUCAAAAGACCUUAGGUUUUAAUCAAAGGCUUCAGAAUCUUCUAUGGGGCCAAGUUAAAUCAUUGCCAGCCUGGAGGGAAGUCUCCAGUGGCAUACCAUAGGGCUCUGUCAUGUCAAAUAUUUCUAUAAUUUAGAUAAAGACAUCAAUGCAUAAAUAUCGCAUCUACUGAUUACCCAAAGCUGAGCAGAACAGGUAGAUACAACAGGUGGCAGAAUUGAGGUCAUGGUCACCUCAAGGGGAGGGAUUAGUGCACCAACAUCAGUGAGCUCUGGCUCAAGCCAAGUAACUGUAAAACCUCAUGUAUAGAAACCAGAAAUCGAUUGCACUUGGCCAAAGAUCAUUUUCAAGGUGACAGGUUCUUCCAGAAGUAUGGCGUGGCUGUGACAAAAAUGAAUACACAGUUGCCUACAUGGAUGGACACACGGGACCCCACAGCACCAGCCCAGACAGAGUCCAGAUGAGGUGGCUGGCACAUCUUGGGAGCAUGUGGGAGCCACCAAAGGACACAGAGCCAUGAAUCCUGGAGAAGGCUUGGGAGGACGUAGCACGCUCUUGGGACUCAGGGGCUAGAAUUGCUUCUGGGCCCUCCCAGGAGAUGUGGGCAGAAGCAUCCCCUGCAAGGGAGGAAGGGCUCUCUUCAAUUACAGACUUGGUCACUACCAGACUUGGGAAUUACCCAUCAGUAAAAACAUUCACAUUGCAUCAACCAAAUAAAUUGCAAAAGAGCUGCGUUUUAGGCUUUAUAUUUCCAAAACCCUAGAACUUUUUGUUCAAAUUAAAUCAUAUCUAGAAGCCAGGUAAGGUUUAUAAGCCAGAUAAGAGUGGAGUUAUUCUUCUUGAAACAGCAGUGGGGGCCUAGAAGCCCAGUGCGUGGGUGCCCCCACCUGUGACUUCCCUAAGGCCUCAUGGGGAGCACAGCCUGAAAGCCACUGUGACAGAAGGGCCCUGAUCCCGGUGUGGGCUUGCUCCUUAUUUCUCUCAGGUGAACUCAAUGUGUCUAUAAUCUAAAGCUGCUGUGCAUGAUGGGACACAUCAGAUGACACCCAAAGGCCUUGGGAGAGAGAGCCGACCUGGGAGGAGACCAGGAUAGCACAAAGGAGCUCUUACCAAGCCCUGGGGAGAGCCCACGAUGCUCUAAUAAGCUCCUGACGGAUCUUGUAAGGAAGUUUAGACUUAAAUAUAUGAUGCAGAAUUGCUGUCAUUCCGCCCCGUGACGCCCCCUCUACCCUGUGGGCAGUGGACACCUCACACAGG